GGUACCCCAUCUAAGUACUAACCGCGCCCGACGCUGCUUAAU
Molecule: ribosomal RNA, 42 nt
Filed under: Drosophila subobscura
Lineage: Eukaryota; Metazoa; Arthropoda; Insecta; Diptera; Drosophilidae
Source: RNAcentral